RNAcentral lists this unclassified non-coding RNA (334 nucleotides) under soil metagenome. RNAcentral's name for it is "partial contains 5.8S ribosomal RNA, internal transcribed spacer 2, and large subunit ribosomal RNA". The stretch from base 1 to 120 matches the Rfam family "5.8S ribosomal RNA", at positions 35 to 154 of the family's 154-position model. The record is from RNAcentral.
GAUGAAGAACGCAGCGAAAUGCGAUAAGUAAUGUGAAUUGCAGAAUUCAGUGAAUCAUCGAAUCUUUGAACGCACAUUGCGCCCGCUAGUAUUCUGGCGGGCAUGCCUGUUCGAGCGUCAUUUCAACCAUCAAGCCCUGCUUGUGUUGGGGUCCUGCGGCUGCCCGCAGGCCCUGAAAACCAGUGGCGGGCUCGCUAGUCACACCGAGCGCAGUAGCACAUCUCGCUCAGGGCGUGCGGCGGGUUCUUGCCGUAAAACACCCCCUUUUUACCAGGGUUGACCUCGGAUCAGGUAGGAAUACCCGCUGAACUUAAGCAUAUCAAUAAGCGGAGGA